Molecule: ribosomal RNA, 213 nt
Filed under: Escherichia coli
Lineage: Bacteria; Pseudomonadati; Pseudomonadota; Gammaproteobacteria; Enterobacterales; Enterobacteriaceae
Description: partial 23S ribosomal RNA
Rfam family: Bacterial large subunit ribosomal RNA
Source: RNAcentral
CGUAAUAGCUCACUGGUCGAGUCGGCCUGCGCGGAAGAUGUAACGGGGCUAAACCAUGCACCGAAGCUGCGGCAGCGACACUAUGUGUUGUUGGGUAGGGGAGCGUUCUGUAAGCCUGUGAAGGUGUGCUGUGAGGCAUGCUGGAGGUAUCAGAAGUGCGAAUGCUGACAUAAGUAACGAUAAAGCGGGUGAAAAGCCCGCUCGCCGGAAGAC